UACAGAGGAGCCAAGCGUUGUCCGGAUUGACUGGGCGUAAAGCGCACGCAGGCGGAUGCGCGCGUGGGGUGUGAAAUCUGGCCGCUUAACGGCCAGGCGCCAUCCCAUACGGCGCGUCUGGAGUGAUGCAGAGGUCGGUGGAAUUGCCGGUGUAGUGGUGAAAUGCGUAGAUAUCAUCUGGAACGCCAAUGGUGCAGACAGGCUGCUGGGGAUGUACUGACGCUGAGGCACGAAAGCCAGGGGAGCAAACGGG
RNAcentral lists this ribosomal RNA (253 nucleotides) under uncultured bacterium. Its description in RNAcentral is "partial 16S ribosomal RNA". It matches the Rfam family "Bacterial small subunit ribosomal RNA", at positions 524 to 776 of the family's 1533-position model. The record is from RNAcentral.